RNAcentral lists this ribosomal RNA (373 nucleotides) under Anaplasma marginale. RNAcentral's name for it is "bacterial SSU rRNA". It matches the Rfam family "Bacterial small subunit ribosomal RNA", at positions 1151 to 1524 of the family's 1533-position model. The record is from RNAcentral. Lineage: Bacteria; Pseudomonadati; Pseudomonadota; Alphaproteobacteria; Rickettsiales; Anaplasmataceae.
GCCAGUGAUAAACUGGAGGAAGGUGGGGAUGAUGUCAAGUCAGCACGGCCCUUAUGGGGUGGGCUACACACGUGCUACAAUGGCGACUACAAUAGGUUGCAACGUCCCAAGGCUGAGCUAAUCCGUAAAAGUCGUCUCAGUUCGGAUUGUCCUCUGUAACUCGAGGGCAUGAAGUCGGAAUCGCUAGUAAUCGUGGAUCAGCAUGCCACGGUGAAUACGUUCUCGGGUCUUGUACACACUGCCCGUCACGCCAUGGGAAUUGGCUUAACUCGAAGCUGGUGCGCCAACCGUAAGGAGGCAGCCAUUUAAGGUUGGGUCGGUGACUGGGGUGAAGUCGUAACAAGGUAGCUGUAGGUGAACCAGCGGCUGGAUC